ACGGGAGGCAGCAGUAGGGAAUAUUGGGCAAUGGAGGCAACUCUGACCCAGCAACACCGCGUGAAUGAUGAAGGUCUUCGGAUUGUAAAGUUCUGUGAUGGGGGACGAAGAAAGUGACGGUACCCCAAGAGCAAGCCACGGCUAACUACGUGCCAGCAGCCGCGGUAAUACGUAGGUGGCAAGCGUUGUCCGGAAUGACUGGGCGUAAAGGGUACGUAGGUGGCUAUUCAAGUUAGUGGUGAAAUUCCGGGGCUCAACUCCGGCGCUACCACUAAGACUGUUUAGCUUGAGUGCAGGAGGGGUAAGUGGAAUUCCUAGUGUAGCGGUGGAAUGCGUAGAUAUUAGGAAGAACACCGGUGGCGAAGGCGACUUACUGGACUGUAACUGACACUGAAGUACGAAAGCGUGGGGAGCAAACAGGAUUAGAUACCCUGGUA
Molecule: ribosomal RNA, 437 nt
Filed under: uncultured Clostridium sp.
Lineage: Bacteria; Bacillati; Bacillota; Clostridia; Eubacteriales; Clostridiaceae
Description: partial 16S ribosomal RNA
Rfam family: Bacterial small subunit ribosomal RNA
Source: RNAcentral